GCACUAUAAAAACUGGACGUAAUUCCUUCCAUGUCUCAUUCUCGUGGCCUUUGCAAGAGUAAGGAGCCUCAAUUGGAGCUGAGGAAAAGGAUCUUUUUCAUGCAAGGCCUUAAAGUAAAGCCAUGGCUUAUCUCAUGGCCUCUACCACGCUGUACCCUCGUGCUGUCCAGAGCGCAGCGUCAUGAACAUCGUUUCAUUGGCGACCCUGGAGCCUCUUCAAAUAUGAUUACGUUUGUGACCAAGUGAUUGAACCUGCUCAGAAGUAUGUCUGCAAACAGCAAACGCCUCCUCCAGGUGUGAGGACAUGGCUACUUUGAGGAUGAAUUGAGAAAGUCCUUACCAACUUUGCAAAUGCAUGUUGGUGGAGAAUCUUGAAAAGGUAUGAGCUUGAGUGACCAGCAGAGGGUGCUGCCUACUUCCUGCAGCAAUAGAUUCGCACUGAGAAUCUGGAGGUCGGUGGAAGUCGACGUGUUGCUGGUUUGUAUGUCCUUCCUGGGAUCUGGGCUUCUUGAUGUUUACGGAAAGAUCAACUUUUUUUUUUUUUUUUUUUUUUUUUUUUUUUUUUUUUAACUCAAGUGGAACUUUGAUUCCUAACCUGGAUGGACCAGAUGCAACCAGAAACCCAGUCAGAGCCAGUUGUGCCAUUUCCACCCUGAAAUUCUCUUACCUAGUUCUUUAGUCAUGUGAUGUUGCUACAUCUACCCAAUGUACCCUUUCGGAAUGUUUAGGGCUGUCUGCCAAACUUGAUUGUUUAUAAUUUGUGCAUGUUGAGUUUUUUGAGGCAACAUGGGAUCCAGUGGCUGACCAAGUCUUUAACAUGGAUGCCAUGCAAGUAUACCUGGAUGAUUAGUUAAUAAAUAAAGCAACAUUUGAAUGGAAAGUAUAUUUGAGUAGCACUGGUGUGUGUUAAAAAAUAUAUAUAUUAUUCAUCAGUCUUGUAUUGUAAUGUUGGUGAGACCCAGAGACUGUCUGUGUUUAUCAUUUGAAAUUAAACUCUGCUCACUCAGCUGUC
Long non-coding RNA from Alosa alosa (allis shad), 1012 nucleotides. RefSeq lists it as uncharacterized. The transcript has 8 exons. The record is from RefSeq and is a predicted model, not a curated record. Lineage: Eukaryota; Metazoa; Chordata; Actinopteri; Clupeiformes; Clupeidae.